Non-coding RNA from Dermacentor albipictus, 285 nucleotides. The record is from RefSeq and is a predicted model, not a curated record. NCBI's taxonomy places the organism in Eukaryota, Metazoa, Arthropoda, Arachnida, Ixodida, Ixodidae.
GACGGCUGGACAUCCUUCUUGUACCUUGGCGCUAGCUGGAUGACGGGACCUCAUCAUGAUCAGUGUAUUGCUUUCCUAUGUCUACAAGAACCAUCAUGCGUGGCCUGUGACGGCAAGCUUUUGUGGGCAGCCAGUGCUCUCCUACGAAGGCUGGCCUACUCUGGCAGCGGCAGCAAUCAUCUUCAAGAUUUAUCCAUGAUCACCCUUGCUGCUAUUUGUCACUCUUGUUAAUUACACUUUCUGCAUUUUUUCUAAUUUAUUAGGUAAUAAAGUAUGAGUAUGUGA